RNAcentral lists this ribosomal RNA (413 nucleotides) under uncultured bacterium. RNAcentral describes it as "bacterial SSU rRNA". It matches the Rfam family "Bacterial small subunit ribosomal RNA", at positions 28 to 458 of the family's 1533-position model. The record is from RNAcentral.
GAUGAACGCUAGCGGGAGGCCUAACACAUGCAAGUCGAACGGGAUUGAGAGCUUGCUCUCAUGAGAGUGGCAGACGGGUGAGUAACGCGUGGGAACCUUCCCAGUGGUGCGGAAUAGCUCAGGGAAACUUGGGGUAAUACCGCAUGAGCCCGAAAAGGGGAAAGAUUUAUCGCCAUUGGAUGGGCCCGCGUAGGAUUAGCUAGUUGGUGAGGUAAUGGCUCACCAAGGCAACGAUCCUUAGCUGGUUUGAGAGAAUGACCAGCCACACUGGGACUGAGACACGGCCCAGACUCCUACGGGAGGCAGCAGUGGGGAAUCUUGGACAAUGGGCGCAAGCCUGAUCCAGCCAUGCCGCGUGAGUGACGAAGGCCUUAGGGUUGUAAAGCUCUUUUAGCGGGGACGAUAAUGACGGU